UACGGAGGACGCGAGCGUUAUCCGGAUUCAUUGGGUUUAAAGGGUGCGCAGGCGGCUGCCUAAGUCGGCGGUGAAAUCCCGGGGCCCAACCCCGGAAGUGCCGUCGAUACUGGGUGGCUGGAAUGCGGUCGGGGCGGGCGGAACGUGGCGUGUAGCGGUGAAAUGCGUAGAUAUGCCACAGAACGCCGGUAGCGGAGGCAGCUCGCCAGGCCUGCAUUGACGCUCGGGCACGAAAGCGUGGGGAUCGAAC
This 250-nucleotide ribosomal RNA is filed under the name uncultured prokaryote. Its description in RNAcentral is "partial 16S ribosomal RNA". It matches the Rfam family "Bacterial small subunit ribosomal RNA", at positions 524 to 773 of the family's 1533-position model. The record is from RNAcentral.